RNAcentral lists this ribosomal RNA (773 nucleotides) under uncultured Neocallimastigales. RNAcentral's name for it is "partial large subunit ribosomal RNA". It matches the Rfam family "Eukaryotic large subunit ribosomal RNA", at positions 24 to 647 of the family's 3401-position model. Lineage: Eukaryota; Fungi; Neocallimastigomycota; Neocallimastigomycetes; Neocallimastigales. The record is from RNAcentral.
GUAGUCUCGCACAGAUGCAUAUCAAUAAGCGGAGGAAAAGAAACUAACAAGGAUUCCCCUAGUAACGGCGAGUGAAGCGGGAAGAGCUCAAAUUUGAAAUCUUAAAGGGUUUCCCUUUACGAAUUGUAGUUUAAAGAAGUGUUUUCUGUUGAGGUUUUGGUAAAGUUCUUUGGAAUAGGACAUCAUAGAGGGUGAGAAUCCCGUAUUUGACCUUUACUUUCAACUUUGUGAUACACUUUCAAAGAGUCGGAUUGUUUGGGAAUGCAGUCCAAAAUGGGUGGUAAAUUUCAUCUAAAGCUAAAUAUUGGCGAGAGACCGAUAGCGAACAAGUACCGUGAGGGAAAGAUGAAAAGAACUUUGAAAAGAGAGUUAAACAGUACGUGAAAUUGUCAAAAGGGAAGCGUUUGACACCAGUGUUGUUUUUCUGAAAAUCAAUUAAAGAACUGUUUAUGCUAAGCUGUUUAGACUUUAUCAGCUAUCUGUUUAGUUUUGAGCUUUUCUUUAAUGCACUUUUCAGUUAACAAGUCAACAUCAAUUUCUUUUGCUGUAAAAAAGCUUGAGGAAGGUGGCUUGAGAUUCGUCUUAAGUGUUUAUAGCCUCUUGCCUAUGCAGUCGGAGAGAUUGAGGUCUGCAGCGUAGAUCCUUCGGGGCUAAAUGCAUUUGUGCUAAGUUAUAGCAUUUUAUAGACAACUUGUUGACUAUGAUUUGUCUUGUAGCUUACUCGCUUAUGUUAUUUUACCUACGCUUAGGAUGUUGAUCUGUAGUGCGUGCGC